UGGCACUGACCCACCUGAGAAGGCUGGGGAGGGUGUGGUAAUCAUGAAAGCUUGAAGGCCAAGACAGAGGAUCUUCAGGAAGAGGCAGAGCUCAGCACCUGCGUCUCCCAGUAGUUUGUGCCUCAGAUUUCUUGUUCUGGACGUCCUCCAUGCCUGUUUUCUGAAGCUACCUGGAAACCAGUGACUAUCCCAACAAAAAAUGUCUAAAAUCCUCCUGUAUUACUUAGGGUAAAAACUAACCCCAAAUUGCAGCUUGUUUCUAAUAAUACGAUAGUGUAGGCCUCUCUGACAUAACAGUCCACCUAAUCUCAGCUGGUGGGACAGCUCUGACCACAGGACCGUUCAUCAGCCCCAACCCCUUCCAUCCUGAUGUUGCUGCACCAUCAUUGUCUUUAUCUGCAUGGUCAAUGUGGGGUUACCUCCAAAUCUGUUUCUAUCCCACAGGAAUAAGAAACAGGGGAAGUUUAAGCCUUUAAAGGUGUUUGAUUUCUUCCCCCACCGUGGCCCACCUGCACAGGAGUUCCUCUUUGAGGGCAACAAGCAUGGAGGCUGAGAGUUAAUGAUUAGACCCACAUUCUUGCACAAAAGGAAACCAAAUCAGAACCAGACUAACCAGAGGAGGCUGAAGAAAAUUAAUAGGUGGCAGAAAACCUUAUAAAAAGAAAACAAGGGAACUUUGCUGCAGAACAACAGCCCUUCGAAUGUCCGAGUGGGAAGAGACAGAGAGCAUCCUGUCCAACCCCUCCUGUAUUGAAGUAUUCAUUCUUCCUUUCUCUGCUGUCUCAUAAGCAUUUAUAUCAGCUUUCACAAGCUUUCAGCUCCAAUUUAGAAGAGCCGAAACAGAAAAUGACCGUCUGUUGGUUACAGAUCUGAGGAUAAGCCCCGCCAAGGACGCCGGAUGUGUGCUCACGGACUGUCUGGGCCCGCUGCAUCGAAGGCUUCCCCACCUGGGAUUCCCUCUCAGGUGCUUAAAACCGUGGCUCCUGCCACCACCCCCACAAAGAGGCCAACAGCAGUGCCUGUGCUUGUACGCCUAAAGUGCUUUUUCUCAAAGCUGCAUAUCUUGUCAAAAUUGUUUGCCCACAUCACUGCAAUCUGUGUGCAGGGAAGCCUGAAACAAGUCCGCGUUUGGAAAGCAAUGGAAAGUACAAGAGGUUCUGAAAUUCAUAAGCCUGGGAAAGCAAUGAUUCAGAGAGAAGCUGUCUUCUCAGUUCUUCCAAAUUGAAAGCACUCAAGGCCAUAGAGCAGCUGCUGCUUGCCUAGGCUGGUUCCUAUUGACCUGACUUGACCUUGUGCCUCGUGUUUGAAUUGGGCCCCCAGCCAGGAAACCACAGCCCCCCUCCAAGACCAAGUCUGACCUACACACCUCUCCUCCUCCCUGCGGAAGGACAGCAGGGGAGCCAGGCCGCAGAGAGAGGGCUGAAAGUUGGGUCAAAGGAGUUGCUUUGUUAAAGGGUUAACACCAACGCAGUUAUCUGGGCCUCCUGCCUUCCCUUUCCGCUAAUCUGCUGGCUUCUCAUCCUUUACAUUUUAUAGUUUUUAGUUCCAAUUACAGGUGAUUAAUAAUUAAAUGAUUGCUAAUUCUUUUCGAUCCCCUGGAAGUCACGACAAUCUAAGCAAUGGUGGUACAAUCGUGGCCUGAGAGGGAGAUUGAGACAGACAGACCGAAAUUACAAUGUUUUCUUUCCUGUGUAAAAAUUAUAACAUUUACAAAUGAAGUGGGAUGUAGUUCAUAGUCUUCAAUCUAUAAACAAACAUUUUAUUCUUUUUGAAUUAUGUUUUUCCUCUCUUAUUUCCCAAGUAAUCUACAUGUUCUCAAGACAUGGGGAGGAGAAGAAAAGCAACCUUAUCAUUCAGGGAUUACGACCUUCCUUGGCUCCAACGAUUCAACUUUAAAUAUUUACUUGGCAGCUGAUUCAAAUUCAAAUAAACUUGCAGUUAUUGGGUGAAAUAAAGUGUGCCCCAUACUCAAAGCACUUAUAAUGUGUGGAAAUUUUUCAACUGUCCUAAUAUUUAUGUUUCCAGUUUGACCCAGAGUAAGUUGCGUCACUUAUUACAGAAUGACAUGAGGUUACGGCCAACCCCAAAGAUCUCAGUCAAGGAAUCUUCUCUGAUGCUGCAUUUGACUUCCCAGAGUCUGCAAAACUAAGUCCUUCCUGAAAAACAGUGAAUCUAUAUGAUAUGUGUGUGCGUACAGCUUGGUGACGAAUGCCAGGCGUAUUUCUAACAUUUCAGAACAACUCAAAGAACUAGCAACUAGAGAAACCUUCACGUAACCACCUCCACUUCAUAUUAAUUCUUCUCUUCGUCCUCCCUCAAAGUGAUUGGACUAUGUUAUCCUAUUCUUCUUGCGUUCCCCACUUUCCCUAGCAUAGAUUUUAUAUCUACAGAAGCUGGACUUUAACCGCUUUAGAGGGAGGAGCCCUUUACUUACAGCAGAUACUCAGCAGAUAUUUGGGAAGGAACAAAUGAACAAAUGGAUGAAUGAGUGAUUACCUGAUUCAGACAAAGUCCCUUUGCUAACGAGGUCUUCUUGCUACCUAUCUCCUUCACUCCUAGCUCCAAUAUUCUUUGGAAUUCCAAGGUUCUGCAUGCGUGGGAGAGUAUUUGGGUUUGGGGAGACAUCCAAGAACACUACCCACAGCAAGGAUCAGGCACAC
This is a long non-coding RNA of Equus caballus (horse), 2660 nucleotides long. NCBI's taxonomy places the organism in Eukaryota, Metazoa, Chordata, Mammalia, Perissodactyla, Equidae. The record is from Ensembl.